AGAAUAGGUUAUAAUUUGGACUGUUUGUUUUCAAAACAUGAGGUGAUAUGUAUAUUUAUCUUCUG
RNAcentral lists this transfer RNA (65 nucleotides) under Tylodelphys immer. RNAcentral describes it as "tRNA-Trp". Lineage: Eukaryota; Metazoa; Platyhelminthes; Trematoda; Diplostomida; Diplostomidae. The record is from RNAcentral.